CAGCAGCCGCGGUAAUACGUAGGUGGCAAGCGUUGUCCGGAAUUAUUGGGCGUAGAGGGCUCGCAGGCGGUUUCUUAAGUCUGAUGUGAAAGCCCCCGGCUCAACCGGGGAGGGUCAUUGGAAACUGGGGAACUUGAGUGCAGAAGAGGAGAGUGGAAUUCCACGUGUAGCGGUGAAGUGCGUAGAGAUGUGGAGGAACACCAGUGGCGAAGGCGACUCUCUGGUCUGUAACUGACGCUGAGGAGCGAAAGCGUGGGGAGCGAACAGGAUUAGAUACCCCAGUAGUCCCUGUCUCUUAUAC
Molecule: ribosomal RNA, 301 nt
Filed under: uncultured bacterium
Lineage: Bacteria
Description: partial 16S ribosomal RNA
Rfam family: Bacterial small subunit ribosomal RNA
Source: RNAcentral